CCAGUAUAUUUAGGGUGGAGAUUUAAGCCACACAAGGUGAAAAACAAGGAUGAAGUUGGAGAAGGAAGAGAAACUUGUCAAAGCCUGUAGAGAAGAAGUGAGGAUAAUUAAUCAGACAAAUGGAGAUAGAGAGCAGGUGUGCAGAGGGGAUAGUCUGAUGGAACAAAAAGGCAGUGGAAUGAAAAUGGAUGUCAGAAGAGAUAUCAGACUGUUCCAAUAAUUACAAGCCAGCUUUCUGCAUGAGCAAUCAAAGGCUGUGUUCUAGAUUGGAAGAAAAGUUACAGAAGUUUUCUGGUUUAGCAGAGGAAGCAAACUACCAGAGUUAUUAUCCAGGUUCUAGGGAAAAAAAGAGGGAAGAGAUACAGUGGGAACAGAACUGUGAUAUUUGCAGCAGUUUGCCUUUCCUCAGAAGAUAACUGAGAGUUCUGCAUGGAGAUGGCAAAAGGCAGACCUAUACUUGGAGUUUGCAGUCCAGCUCCCCUAAAGAAAUCGCACGGUAUUCCCCGCAGAGGGAGCGGCCGGAGCCGCGGUGCUGGCUGUGCCCGGGGCUGCCGGGGUGCCGGGGCUGCCGCUCCCCGGGCGAUGCCGAGAUGCGGAUCAGGAGGCUCCUCCCGCUCUGCCGCCGGUGCUGGGGGAGCUCGGCUGGUCUCCGGUGCCGGGGAAGGCUCCGGGGCCCGGCCGGCAGCGGCUCCAGCACCAGGGACAGCGGGCGGGGAGCGGAGCGGGCGGGGAGCGCCUCAGGGCAGAGCUCCCUUAGAGCGGCGCCUCGGGGCUCAGUGCCCGUGGGGCUGCCGGGACCGGCGUGGGACCGAACGGGAAGGGACAGCACGGGAAGGAUUCGGAGCUCCUGCCCUGCCCUUCGGCCCGGCCCGCUGGACACCUCUGUCACCCUUCACACUGCACAGAGCACGCCAAGUACAGCAGCUCCGGGAACAUCAGCCCUCGCUCCCUGGAGUACAAACCAAGGUUCUGUUGUCCUGAAACAAAGCCGUAACAUCAGAGACAGCACUUAAAAACCCACAGCCAAAGCCUGCCCUCCCUGGUAGGGAUUUGGCUGCGGGCUGAUUGAUAGCUCAAAUCACUUCAUCAGCCUCUGGAAUAGCGACAUGCUCAUUUCCAUGAGAGAUGAAACCACUUCUCUGAUGUUGUCUUUCAAUAGUAUAAAUUUGUUAGCAUGAAAGAGAUCUCUUUCACGGCAAUAAAUACAUAAAUUAUAAGCA
Molecule: long non-coding RNA, 1220 nt
Filed under: Parus major (Great Tit)
Lineage: Eukaryota; Metazoa; Chordata; Aves; Passeriformes; Paridae
Description: lncRNA (ENSPMJG00000005265.1)
Source: RNAcentral